UGGCGGCACUAGCGCGGUGGUCCCACCUGACCCCAUGCCGAACUCAGAAGUGAAACGCCGUAGCGCCGAUGGUAGUGUGGGGUCUCCCCAUGUGAGAGUAGGGAAUCGCCAGGCA
RNAcentral lists this ribosomal RNA (115 nucleotides) under Klebsiella pneumoniae. Lineage: Bacteria; Pseudomonadati; Pseudomonadota; Gammaproteobacteria; Enterobacterales; Enterobacteriaceae. RNAcentral also lists the same sequence under 1 other name. The record is from RNAcentral.